GCCCCUGUAGCUCAAUUUGGAUAGAGCGAGACUCUCCUAAGGUCUAGGUUGGCCGUUCGAUUCGGCCCGGGGGCG
This 75-nucleotide transfer RNA is filed under the name Candidatus Omnitrophota bacterium. RNAcentral describes it as "tRNA-Arg". The record is from RNAcentral. Lineage: Bacteria; Pseudomonadati; Candidatus Omnitrophota.